RNAcentral lists this long non-coding RNA (8479 nucleotides) under Podarcis lilfordi (Lilford's wall lizard). The stretch from base 7529 to 7593 matches the Rfam family "tRNA". Lineage: Eukaryota; Metazoa; Chordata; Lepidosauria; Squamata; Lacertidae. The record is from RNAcentral.
GGCCGAGCAGUGCUGCAUUAUUUAUUAGUCCUAAUACGUAGUCUUGUUUAUUAGUAGUAUUAGUGCUGCAUUAUUCAUUAGUAACAAGUAUUUUUUAUUUUAUUUUAAUUAGGUAUUCGUCUUCCGGAGGUGUGGCCGUGCUUAUCUCAUGAGGCAAAGAACAGCGAGUCUUCUGUCAAGUUAAGAGCGCAGUCCUAAGCAUACCUACUCAGGGGUAAGUCUUACUGCAUUUCAGCGGGGCUUACUCCCAGGUUAAUGGGGUAGGAUGCCUAACACAUUUAUUCAGGCAUAAGAAUAUUGUUAUUAUUCCCUUCCAGAGGCGUGGCCGCGUUACGUUCUUGCAGCUGAAAACAACAAGUGGUGUGACAUUUUAAAGGUGCCGGCCUAACUAUGUCUGCUAAGAAGGGUAAGUCCUAUUGCAUUUAAUAGGGCUUACUCUCAGAUAAGGCUGCACAACACAUUUACUCAGGCAUAAGGUUAUUAUUAUUGCCAACCACCGUUUUAUUGUGUUUACAUUAGUAACCCUGUUCCACAGUAGUUAUUCAUUAAAAACAUGUAAUAUAAACAUUAAAACAGAUUAAAUGUGACAACUCCCACACCCAGAUGAUUAUGAUUUAUUGAUUCGGCUUGCAUCCCACUCUUCCAUUUGAGAGCUCAGAACAUCUUCAGUGAAUAUUAUCAUUACUCAUCUUCCAGAGGUGUAGCCAUGAUAAGUGAUUGCAGCCCAAAAUGGGUCUUGUGGCAACUAAAAAGUGUUGUCUUAACCAUGCCUACUCAGAAGUUAGUCUUAUUGCUUUCAAUGGGACUUAUUCCCAGUUAAGUGGUUAGGAUGCCUAUUGCAUUUAUUACGGCAUAAGCUCUGCCUCAUUUAUAUGUAUGAUGUGGGCGUUGUUAACAGGAAGAACAGAAGUAUCUGAAAUGCUGACAAUCACGUUAUUGACAGUGGCCAUUCACACAUGCAAAGCAACAGUUCCUCUUGAUAACACAGACAUCUUUUUGGCAUUGGUGUCAAUGAACAGCUAGUACAAUUAAAAAGCAAAACAUUGUGUUGAUUCAGUCCGCAAGUGACGGCACUGAAUCUGCAGCGGUUUCAAGGUGCAGUCUCUUUUUGAAGUUCAAGGGUUUCUGCCUUAAGUUCAGUUGCCUUUCACAGCAUCCUGGGAGGUUGAAAUAUUUUUGCGCUGGGGAAACAAGGCCUAGGGAAUUAACUGGUCCCACAGGUUCUUUGGGUAGCAGGGCUUCUGGGACCAGCCCACCUUCCCGUCCCCUCCUGCAUAUGCCCUUUCCCUUAUAAAUCAGGGUCCUUGGCUCAUCACCUGUGUAAUGUUUCUGGGUCAACAACAGAUAUAAAAAGGAGAUAUAAAGAUAUAAUUAGGAGUAGUUUUUAUAAACAAGCUUUAUUCAGAGUAGUCUCCAAGACCCUCUGCUGGAACUGAAACUCAAGGCCUAAGGAACGGCCCGGUGUCCUGUGACUCCAGAGUAAGUCAUCAGAUUGCCAAGCCUUUAACCUUGAAUAAGUUAUAAAAUGUGAACAAAAAAUGAAAUGAUUUUUUAAAGAACCCAUAAGAUUAUUACUAUAGACAUAUAUGUUGUUUCUGCUGCAUGAACUGCAUAGACACAGAUGUAUCUACUAUGGAACUCCAGUUGCUUUCACUAGUCUUUCUUGCUUUUGCUACAUCAACAUACAACUCAUGUGAAAUAUCUUCAACAGUGUGCACCUGAUUUUUCUUUCUUUCUCUGGCUUGGUAACACAUUGCAAAAUUAUUCCCACAGUUAAAACAGCUCCCCCCCCCCCAUGCUCAACGGUUUAGGACCAUGCGGCAUUCCACAUUUUUUUGCAUGGUUCUUUCUUUUGUAUUCUUAUUAUAUUUUAAUUUAUACCCUGCCUUUUUCCCUGACAGAAUUUUAGGUGGCCUCUUCUCACAGUGAGAGAAGCUAUUUCCACUUUUGAAACUAGCUUCCUUAUACUCUGCUCCUUAAUAUGCAGAGUAUGGACAAUAUUUCUGGCCUGUGCUUUUACAGUUCCUGAGGACCUGCAAAUCUGAAUAGUUUUGUCCAGGGGCAGAUCCCUCUCAUGCAACAGCUGCUCUCGGAGGACAUUGUCUUUGAUGCCACAGAUUUAUUUAUGUUUAUUACAUUUAUAUGCCACCUUUAUAUUCUAAGCAUAUCAACAUGGUGCACAUGGUUCUCCUCCUCCCAUCCUCACAACAACCCUGUGAGGCAGGUUAGGCUAAGAUGAUAACUGGCCCAAGGUCACCCAGUGAGCUUCAUGGCUGAGUGGGGAUUUAAACCCUAGUUUCACAGGUCAUAGUCCAGCACUUUAACCAUUGCGUCAGUUCCCUUCAUUGGUCAUUUUGUACCUUACAGCUUUGGCCAAAUCAAUCACUGUUUUGGGAAAUGUAAAGCUAGGCACUGUAACAUCAACAUAGCUUCCUUACAUUGUCAUAACUUGGAGUUAUUCUGGCAUAUGGGGCUCAGCAGCAAUCAUAUCCUGCCAAUAUAACUUGGGGAUAGAAUUGCCCCAUACAUAGGAGCCAACUCCUAGGGGCUGAGGUCCCUUCCCCCCAUAAAAUAUUUGAGGGCCCCCACAAAGUUAAUGGGCAUUGUCAUUCAAAUAGUGUGUGUGUUGCAUCAUGUGAUCGAUUAUGCAGGGCUUACCUGUCCCCACCCUCAUGUUUUAUCCAAGUUGGCACCCCUGGUUCCAUAUAUUAGUUAAACCAUACUGGGUGCAAAACAGAUUGCAGAUUGCACCCAGGGCUGUUGGGACGAAAAACAAAUUGUGUCUGUUCCCCCAUUUAAAAAUAAAAGCCAGAGUUGUUUGGGAAAGCAAGUCCCCUAUGCAGCAGAGAGCAGAAGUAAAGAGAUAUGUGGUAGUCGUUAUAUUGGCAGAGAUGAGGUAUAAAUUUAGCUGCUGCCCUAGUCAAGAGAAGCCAAAUUGCCUAGCGAGUCUUAGUGUUUAACCCACCUAACCUGCAGAACCUGGAUCCCAUCUUUAUAUAACAAAAAAAUCAUCUCCUACCUCACCCCCGUGGCACACACCUAACUCUGCAUAGGACCAGAAAGCACACUGAUUUCAAUUAAAGACUUACAUGUAUGUUUCUGACUCCCAUCUUCUCUGCACGCUUACCUGGGAUGAGCCUCAUUAAGCUCAAGUAAACAUGCCUAAGCUUGGGCUAUUCUUUCUCACACUGAAAUCCAUUGAGCACUAGAAGUGCUCUGCUUUGGCCUUUAAAGAUGGAGAAAGGACUGGCCAUGCCAUUUCAGAAAUAAAACAUGCACAUUCCUUCAUUUCUUAACAUGUGUUCGUGUGGAAAGGAGUGAGGCCCAGGUUGUGAAUUUGUGAGGAGCCCCGCAAAAUACUCAUUGGGUCCUGCAUAGGCCUGUAGCUGGGGGCGGGGGGGUAACCCCCUGAAUAAUUAAAUUUGUUACAGAAAAAUUAAAAACAAACAGGAAAUCCUUUGUUUUAGUUCUCAAGGGCACAAAUGCUAAUAUUUUGGGGUGGGUUGGCAAUGGAAUCUGCCUAGUAUGAAAACAUCACAUGAGAAGGGCCAGGAGGCAGAGCUUAAAAUGGAAGGAAUUUUGACAAGUCUGGUCAAUUUGUUUUUAAGUAUCUAAAUUCACUGUUGAGGAACUCAGAAGGUAGGCAGAAUUUCCUUGCCUGACAAAUGAGAUGGCAAACAAACACCUGCUAUAUGACUAUGACAUCCAUUCAAAAGCUAUUAUUCUUCAAGGAGGUGGGAUUCUGGGAGUUUCUGCUUGCUGGGCUGAGGAACUAUUGGCCAUGGGGGUGUAUUUUUUAUGUCUUGUCAGGUGGGGGUGCAAAGGAUAUGAAGCUAUAUUUUCCCCUGGGGGGAGGAAAUGCAGGCCCCCAAUUCAUCACCACCAUUAUUACCAUUGUAACUUCAAAGCAAACAUUCAUCAUAAGUUUGUUUGCUGGAAGUAAACAGCAACUCUUCUGUGGAAGGCAAGGUGGUGGCACCAUCCUUCCCUGAUGAAGAGAACACUGGAUCUAACCCUUUGUCUACUAUCAGUAGACUGCUGUUUUGGAAGGAGAAUGUACCACUGAGAAGUCAGCAAGAAAUUCAACUAACUUGCACCAACAGAAGAUAAAACCUAUCCACUCUUAAGGAAAUCAGCCCUGAGUGCUCACUGGAAGGACAGAUCCUGAAGCUGAGACUCCAAUACUCAUGAGAAUACGCCACCUCAUGAGAAGAGAAGACUCCCUGGAAAAGACCCUGAUGUUGGGAAAGAUGGAGGGCACAAGGAGAAGGACGACAAAGGACGAGAUGGUUGAUAGUGUUCUCAAAGCUACCAACAUGAGUUUGACCAAACUGCGGGAGGCAGUGGAAGACAGGAGUGCCUGGCGUGCUCUGGUCCAUGGGGUCACGAAGAGUCGGACACGAUUAAACAACAACAACAACAGCAAACCUGCACAGCCUCAAAUUUCAUCAUACCCAGGGGUCUACAAUGUUUGGCCAUACAUGGAAGUUCCAGUGUUCCUGUCUUAAAUCUUAGGAGUGGCUGGAGUACUUCUUCAUUAUAGAAAAAAAUCCUGUUGCAAACUCUGACUCAGCAUUUGUAAAUGCAGGAGACUCUGAAGGGAAGCAGGCAAAUGUUUUCCAGGCACACAAAGUAAAUUACCCAUAAAAGUGCAAUGGAUAAUUUUCAGAAGCAACAAAAGCGAGGAUCAACAGGAGAAACUAUUCAGAGGAAAAAAUGUGUAGCCAAGUGGUGGAAAAUAACAGAUACUAUGUGAAAUGUAUUGCUGGAGUAACUCAGUUUGCAGUGGUCAAUCAGUUGUCUUUCAGGGGUGAUUCAGGGUAUGAACAAUUAGGAGUAGAUGCAGGUGGUUAGCUGAAUUUUCUAUGAGAAAAUAUUUUUAAAAUUGCAACAAAUUGUGAAAAUGAUUCCUGCAAGUGCUAAAUAUACUAGCCCUGAAAUCCAAAAUGAAAUCCACAGCACAACUCAAACAGUUGUAGAUUUUUUUCUGGAGCAAAUGGUUUAAAGUACUUGUGUUGUGUUGUUGGUUGAUGAGACUAGGGACAAACAAGGCGUUGAAGAUACAGGGUUAUUCCUGAUUUUUUAACAACCUUUUUUUGUGUUAAUUGUUGGCAAGAUAAUUAAGAAUUGUUGAAGUUGCUUAGUGAAAAUGUUUGAAUGUGCCUAAGUUGCAGGACAACUCCAAAAAUAAGGGUUAAUGAAAAACAUUUCACAGUUUUGUCUUUAAAAGGACCUGCCAGAUUUUGAUGUGUUUUUAAUCUUUGUUGGAAGCCACCCAGAGUGGCUGGGGAAACCCAGCCAGAUGGGCAGGGUACAAAUUAUAAAUUAUUAUUAUUAUUAUUAUUAUUAUUAUUAUUAUUAUUAUUAACUGUCCCCUUAAACUGCUCCAUUACUUUUUGUCCAUCCCUUCCCCCGCCCCCAAACUUUUAAACUGGCUUCAAGCCCAGUCCUGCACCAGGAUGUUCCCAAUAGACCGUGCCAAAAAUGUACUUGGAUAUUCUGUUACGUUAUAUUGAAAAAGGAGAAACAGUCGUGUGUUAGUAACUAGAUGAUAAGAUGCAAUGUUGAGAUAAUACAAAGGGGUGUGAAGCAGUGGUACAUAUUAUACUUUUGUGGACUCAUCCUUCCAACACAGUGUUUCCCAAACUUCCAGUAGCUAAGAGCAGGAUCCAUUAUGGAGAUGUGGCAGAAUCACCUACCACCAGCAGAUAGGUGCAAGCCCAGAGCAGCAUAAUCACUCAGGGAGGCAGCGGACAGCUUCCUCUGGGGUUGGAUGCUUUGGGAGUGAUUUCUUUCUUGCAGUUUGGGAGUUCUCGAUCUCAUGAAUGGAUGCCUAACUUGCUAUCGCUGAACAAUGCUGUUUGACAAUGCUGCUGCACAAGCCAGCUGGUCUGUUAAAAGUAAAUGUCAGAAAUAAUCUUUUCCAGCCAUCAGGGCAGGAAGUGUGCCAUUGUUCUGCUAUCCUGGCCAGCUAAAGCCCUUUUUUUUUCAGAGAAGUGGUUUAAAGUUAUUUGUUGCUAGAUGAAACUGCUGACCCACACUUGUGUCCCUAGGGGUAUGAAUAACAAACUAUUCAUCAAGUAUUGUCCUGGUCAGCUUUACUGUAGGAAAAUGUUUGAGGAGGCGGUGAUGGCUGGCAGCCUAGAAACCCACAUCACUCUCCAAACAGGGCUGCUAGCCAUGGCCAUAGGCAGGCCCCUCUCCAUAUAUCUCUGGAAUGGCAAGUAGGGGCUGGAUUUGGCCCUGGGUGUUAGUUUAUUAAUAUAUGGCCUGGGGUUCCACUGAAAAAUGAUUGCCUCUUAAUUCCUUUCCACCAAACAACAGAAUAAACACCUGGUUGAUAGAACUGGAAGGCAUCCAACAGGACGUUUAGUUGAUCCCAUGCUCCGAGGCAAAACAUCCUCUACUUAAAAGCAUCCCUCGUAAAUAUUUGUCCAACCAUACUGAAAACCUCUCAGUUUAUUUCAGGGCUGAACCACUCCUAAAAGCAGGAAGCUUUAAGUGACAUUUCAUUUAAAUCUGACCUCCUUCCGCUGAUUUUCUUGCCUUAUCCACUGGAGUUGACCUUUUUCCUUUUUCACCUAUUAUUUGCAAACUGUCAACAUACAUCCAACAUUCAUAUUCUUUCUCUUGUCUGAACAUGCCCAGUUACUCCAUCCCUUCUCAGUGUAGUUUGCUGUUUUAUCACCAAGCAGGUCUCCAGGACUUGACCUCUGCAGCAUACGUCCCCCAGCCAUCUUCUCCAGUGCCAUCCCCUCUCACCUUUAGAGAUGGACUGACACAAAGAAAUGGAGCAUGCGCAUGAUCUAAGACAGGAGGGAGGGCCACAUGUCUCUGCACAGAGGGACGCAUACGGCACACCCCACCCAAACAGUCCAAACACAUGCCCACACUGCAUAUCAACAACUCACAAAUUCACACACUUUGCAUGGAAACACACCAAACUCUCACACUCCUGCCCUCUCAGGCACUCAAAUGCAGGCACACACACAUAGCUCUCUGUCGCACGUGCGCGCUCCCUCCACCUGUGAAGUCUGCAAUUGGUUAAGAAUAAAAUACAUAUUUUCUCCCCACUCCCUGCCUCCAAUCACAGUGCUGCAAUGGGGAGGUAUGCACCUGCUAAAGAUAAAGGUAAAGGGACCCCUGACCAUUAGGUCCAGUCGUGACUGACUCUGGGGUUGCGGCGCUCUUCUCGCUUUAUUGGCCGAGGGAGCCAGCGUACAGCUUCCAGGUCAUGUGGCCAGCAUGACUAAGCUGCUUCUGGCGAAACCAGAGCAGCGCACGGAAACUCCAUUUACCUUCCCGCUGCAGCGGUACCUGUUUAUCUACUUGCACUUGACGUGCUUUCGAACUGCUAGGUUGGCAGGAGCAGGGACCGAGCAACGGGAGCUCACCCUGUCGCGGGGAUUCAAACCGCCGACCUUCUGAUCGGCAAGUCCUAGGCUCUGUGGUUUAACCCACAGCGAUACUGGCCAUCAAAUUGUGGACUUAAUUAGAGACCCAACAAGACAUUCAGCAUUGCAAAGGGGCCAUAGCUCAGUGGCAGAGCAUGUGCCUUGCAUGCAAAAGGCCCCAGGUUCAAUCCCAGGGGCAGCAUCCCCUGGUGGGGUUGUGAAUCUUCCCUGCCUGAAACUUGAAGAGCUUCUGCCAGUCAGUUUAGACAAGGGUGGGCUAGAUGGACCAGUGGUCUGACUCAGUAUACGGCAGCUUCCUGUGUUCCUAACACAAUCACACACUGUUGCUGUACAAUCUCUAUGCCUGUUAGAAAUAUGGUGGUGGUAAUUCAAUGCAUUAUGUCUAGGGCGGUACUUUGAUUGUGGUGGUCUGAAUCCCAAGUGACCUUCCUUCCUUCCCAUGUUAGCCAGAUCAGGGAGCAGACAGGGGAUGUAUUUGUACUAAAGAAGAACAAUGUCCUGAACACAUGUAUUGUUCUCAUUUUGUAAGACACAGUGAUUCAGAUGUCUCGAGUCUUGGUUAUUUUGCUGGUUUCCAUCAUGAAACCAUUAGCAAAAAGGAAGUCUUUUGCAAAACCACAAAAAUGCAGUUUCCAACCUGAUGUGUCUGGGAAAGUAAUUUGCAUGACUUUUGAACUUCAGAAGGAGCCAAGUGCAUUCUGUUUGGCUGACUGAGAUAUGGUUACAUUUUAUUAAAUGCCAGCAGUGGUCUUGAUGCUGUUUGGGAUGUGACAGGAACAUGGAAAACUGGUGGCCCCAAAUAUGCCGCUUGAGAGAGACAGUGCUUCCUGGACCCAAUACAAGAGCAUCGUUGCCCCACCUCACACUCCCUUGCUGCAUCAAAAUGAUGUUCCCAGUAAGCCUCUACUUAUCACACACCUGCUCCUCCUAAGUGCAGGAAGCCCUUUCUCCAUUCCCCUCAGUCAGAGAGAGAGGAGAGAGGCUUUGUUGGUGGCAUGGGAGUCCUGGAAAUGUUAGGCCCAUGGGCAUAGCCAAGUGGGGCAGGCAGAGGCAGCUGUCCCCCC